This 170-nucleotide ribosomal RNA is filed under the name Lepidion inosimae (giant cod). RNAcentral describes it as "partial 12S rRNA". The record is from RNAcentral. Lineage: Eukaryota; Metazoa; Chordata; Actinopteri; Gadiformes; Moridae.
CACCGCGGUUAUACGAGAGGCCCAAGUUGAUGAAAAACGGCGUAAAGCGUGGUUAAGAAAAUAAGAUAAUAGGGCCGAAUGGCCUCAAAGCAGUUAUACGCACUCGAAGUCUCGAAGCACAAUCACGAAAGUAGCCCUAACCUGCCUCUGAUUCCACGAAAGCCAUAAAA